Molecule: ribosomal RNA, 182 nt
Filed under: Escherichia coli
Lineage: Bacteria; Pseudomonadati; Pseudomonadota; Gammaproteobacteria; Enterobacterales; Enterobacteriaceae
Description: partial 16S ribosomal RNA
Rfam family: Bacterial small subunit ribosomal RNA
Source: RNAcentral
CGCGGGUAUGAAGAAGACCCCUCGGGUUUUAAAAUUCUUUCAGCGGGGAGGAAGGGAGUAAAGUUAAUUCCUUUGCUCAUUGACGUUACCCGCAGAAGAAGCACCGGCUAACUCCGUGCCAGCAGCCGCGGUAAUACGGAGGGUGCAAGCGUUAAUCGGAAUUACUGGCGUAAAGCGCACGC